Molecule: ribosomal RNA, 403 nt
Filed under: bacterium
Lineage: Bacteria
Description: partial 16S ribosomal RNA
Rfam family: Bacterial small subunit ribosomal RNA
Source: RNAcentral
UGGGGAAUAUUGCACAAUGGGGGAAACCCUGAUGCAGCGACGCCGCGUGAACGAAGAAGGUAUUCGUAUCGUAAAGUUCUGUCCUAUGGGAAGUUAAUGACAGUACCAUAGAAGAAAGCUCCGGCUAAAUACGUGCCAGCAGCCGCGGUAAUACGUAUGGAGCGAGCGUUGUCCGGAAUUAUUGGGCGUAAAGGGUACGCAGGCGGUUUAAUAAGUCGAAUGUUAAAGAUCGGGGCUCAACCCCGCAAAGCAUUGGAAACUGAUAAACUUGAGUAGUGGAGAGGAAAGUGGAAUUCCUAGUGUAGUGGUGAAAUACGUAGAUAUUAGGAGGAAUACCAGUAGCGAAGGCGACUUUCUGGACACAAACUGACGCUGAGGUACGAAAGCGUGGGGAGCAAACAGG